UAGCGAUUAAUGAAGCAUAUUUUGGUAAAUUAACUUGGGAAAACAAUUAUAGAAAUUAAAAAUAUUAUUGUGUUAGCCAUUUUCAGAGCAUUAAUUUAAUGGAGCAAGAAUGUUUUAAGAAAUGUUUUGAAGAAUCUGUUAUUGAUUAAAGUUAUCACUAAUCAGUAAAAGUACUCAGGUGGGAUUAUGGUGAUUUUUCUAAACUUGAUUUUGUUUUGAUUUAUAUCCAUUUAAAACGUUUUGAAUAAAACUUUAAAUUCAACGACAAGUAAAAGACCUAGGUAAAAUUGGUAUAUGUUGAAAAUGUCUAGAUUUGUUAAGUUGACAUUAUAAUUUCUCCGGGUUUAACUCUUUUGAAUUUUGUUUAAGGAAAGCAUGUUGAAUGUUUUAGACAAAUAACCAGUAAGAUCCAGUUUGUACUAUAAAAGUAAUUUAAACUGGACUGUCUACUUCACACUGAUAUUCAUUGUUUUGAUGAUAAAUGUAAACUGUACAACUGCAGCAAAUUUUAAGCUUUUGUUUAUUGUUUUGUUUUGUUUGUUUAAUUCUAUUUUAUAAGAUUGGUUUAAGAGGAAGAUCUGCAUAUGUUUAACAUUUUGGCAAAACAUUACUUUGGAAACAUGUCUUUUGAAGCUGGUGAUUACAGGGUUUUGUGGAUUAAUUUUCUCUGA
Long non-coding RNA from Xiphophorus couchianus (Monterrey platyfish), 671 nucleotides. RefSeq lists it as uncharacterized. The record is from RefSeq and is a predicted model, not a curated record. The transcript is spliced from 3 exons. Lineage: Eukaryota; Metazoa; Chordata; Actinopteri; Cyprinodontiformes; Poeciliidae.